CGAUCUGUCCUGAUUUCUGGCCACAUAUUCUUGAACAGUUCUUUAACAGAAGCAUUCUGCAUUGCAAUAUUAGAGGCUGCUAGUUGUGGACUAUUGACAGUCAGUACACGCGUCGGAGGGUGUCCCAGAGGUCCUACCAGAUGACAUGAUUGUACUUGCAGAACCAGAUCCUGGUGAUAUGGUACAGGCAAUUAAAAAGGCAAUCUCUCUUCUUCCAAAAAUUGACCCAC
Molecule: unclassified non-coding RNA, 230 nt
Filed under: Hevea brasiliensis (rubber tree)
Lineage: Eukaryota; Viridiplantae; Streptophyta; Magnoliopsida; Malpighiales; Euphorbiaceae
Source: RNAcentral